Molecule: unclassified non-coding RNA, 487 nt
Filed under: Pectobacterium atrosepticum
Lineage: Bacteria; Pseudomonadati; Pseudomonadota; Gammaproteobacteria; Enterobacterales; Pectobacteriaceae
Description: partial 16S-23S ribosomal RNA intergenic spacer
Rfam family: tRNA (bases 74-147)
Source: RNAcentral
CCAAGAAGAUGUGUGUUAAGUGAAGUGCUCACACAGAUUGUCUGAUGAAAAUAACGAGCAGAAAUACCUUAAUAGGCUUGUAGCUCAGGUGGUUAGAGCGCACCCCUGAUAAGGGUGAGGUCGGUGGUUCAAGUCCACUCAGGCCUACCAACUCUUCCAUGAGUGGUAUCUAAGGUAUCUGUAAGCAACGAUGGGGUUAUAGCUCAGCUGGGAGAGCGCCUGCCUUGCACGCAGGAGGUCUGCGGUUCGAUCCCGCAUAGCUCCACCAUCACUACUCGCUAUAUAGAAAACUUCAGAGUGUACCUGUUUGGGUGCACUGCGACGUUUUGCUCUUUAACAAUCUGGAACAAGCUGAAAAUUGAAACAUGACAGCUGAACAUGCAUUGGUCCUUCAGGGUAUGAAUGGCGUGUCAGUGUGUCAAUGAGUCUCUCAAAUAAUCGCAGCACGACAGUGGCUUUGAUUUAUCAAAGACCCUUCGGGUUGUGA